This 1413-nucleotide ribosomal RNA is filed under the name Triticum aestivum (bread wheat). RNAcentral describes it as "partial small subunit ribosomal RNA". Lineage: Eukaryota; Viridiplantae; Streptophyta; Magnoliopsida; Poales; Poaceae. The record is from RNAcentral.
AUGCCGCUGCAGCACAAGAGGCGCGGCGGCCGUCGCGCAGGGGCCUCCCGCCGGCGCCGCGGCGACGACGCCGCGUCGCUGCCAGGGCUCCCCUUCGAAUCGUCGGACGGAAGCAGCAGCAGUGACAGCGAAACGAGUUCCGGUGACCACGGCACGUGCGCGUCGCCGUCCGGAUCCCUCGACGAGCCCCCGGGCACCGGGCGGGCUUACCAGUCGAGGUACCAUGAGAUCCUCGCCUCACGCCUCGCCGAACUGCAGCUACCAGCCGGUGCCGACGACGAUGGCGGCCCAAAUCUCCCUUCUGAUGAAACUGUCGAAGCCCUUGUUCGUACUACUUUCUACGAUGACGAGCUGCGGGCAGCUCUUGUAGAAUAUCAAGCCAACAUGUUGCUUAGCGGACCAGAUGUCCAGGGACGAGAUGGAGAUUCUGGAGAGGACUCCGGCGAUGAUAUCGCCGAGGAGGAAUUCGUCAAGUACUCCGAAGAGCUGAAGGCUCGCAGCAGUGCUGAAAUUGAUACAGACACUAGACUGAAUCAAGAGCAGUUCAACUGGCUCCAUGCCAAGUAUGUUCGUUAUCGCAUCAAAGCUUGCCUGUUGUUGAAAGGAAAGCAUAUCGAUGAGCUAGACGACGCUACAUUGGAACUCAAGUACCCUAUUGAGCUUGCCUUGGGGGAUAAAGACUUAUCCCCUUACCUGGAUGAUGGUGCCUUUGGCUGGUAUUUCGACUCCGACCUCUGUUUACUUGCGUCCUUGAGCGAUUACCAGCGGCUAGUCCUUCCUAACUCUACUUGGAGUGAGUAUGAAAGCUUGAGUCAAUACAUAGCGUUUUAUAACAACCCUGAAGUUGAUAGAGAUUAUGUGCAAUACUGGGAAAAGAUGGUCAAGGAAAUUAAGUGGCUUGAAAAUCAUGUGCUUAAAGAAGAUACUCCGGAGUGGGAUCAAAUCUGUCGUAAGGGUUUAUACCAAGCAAUUAGGAUUGCUGCAGAGUUCCCCAACAUUGAUUUCAGUCUAGCAUAUUAUGGUUUCAUGGAGUAUAUAUGGAGGACUCGCUUUUAUGUCGUGUCUGUGAAAGGUCUUGACCAUGCCUAUUUUGAGAUUUGGAAGCGGGUUACUGGCCAGCAGAUGUGUUUCAGAGAUGCUCUGCAGGAAGUUUGCAAUGAGAAUUUGGUUCCAUCGCGCCAACACACUUUGAAGGCCGAGCUGCAGCGACCUGGAGGCUUUUUGCAACUGGAGCGACAAUUUCACCGGUGCACAGAGGGCAUUAGUAAGGAAGUCCCGGAUUGGAUAGCCCAAGAGUUGAUUUCGCAAGAAGUUAGAUUCAAGCGCGCUUUGCCAAAGACAUAUGCGCAGUACGCGAGGAAGAAGCUCAAGGUUGCAGAAGCCAUAGGAUUGAUUCCCAAGGCCAAGGCCUAG